ACACCAGCAGCAUGUGGUGACCAGGCCUCAGACUCUGCAUCUGUGACCUAAGACUGGAGGAUGUUUGCCUGGGCACCGUCAGGAGAACAGUAAACUGUAGUCAGCACUUAGCUGACUUGACCAGCAGCGCUGCACACUCUCUGUCCUUUUCUCUUUAAUCGGGUAGCAGGGGGUGGGGAGGAGAACAGGGCAGACAGUGUCAGUCUGGGCCCCAUUAGGCAGCCUCCGUGAAUUUACAUGGUGGGUUGAUCAUUAAUGAAACACCUGGCAUUUGGUUACUGCUCUAUAAACUUCCCGUGACUUCCGCCUUUGCGUUGUCCCCGAGAGACUCCUAGAAAUUCCACCCUGAGGCUGUGGGAGGUGGAGGAGAAAGUGAAUGUCCUCAGCAGCGGCCCAGUGCUGUGGAAGGAUUGCUGGGACCCGUUUCUCUGGUUCUGGAGAGCGUGUUGGGAUUACUGGGAAUACGGCUAAUAGAAUCCUCUAAUGGGGCUCCAUAUACCAGUCUCUGGGCAUGCUAACACCACUCACUGUUAAGAUGCCAACACGAUGGAAGGCACACACUUACUGAAGUGUGUGACACAGGAAUGAAUACCUGUGUUUUGCCCAGCAGCUGUAUGUGUAUGUGUGUGUGUGUGUGUGUGUGUGUGUGUGUGUUCACUAGCCAGCCCUAAGAGGGUAAAUCUCCUAGUGUACCCAUCAAGCCUCUUAAAUACCAGCACACGAUGGCCUCAGUACCUGGGUGGUUUCCGCAUUUGCUGUGGCUGUGAGGGGUUCCCCCAGAUCUACCUAGUUGGGAGAAAGAAGGAAUUUUCACUUCAGAUGAAGGAAGCAAAGCCUCAGAGGAAGGUGUCUGGGAGAUGUCUGGGAGAGUGAGCGCUGUUUGCAGUGGGACUGUCUCCAUCUGCCCCACAGGCUCCACUUCCACGCAGAUCAGAACUAGGAAAGGGCUGGAAGACAGAGGCAGGGGUGCAAUUAACCUGGAAGCAAGGAUUUGCAUCUAAUUUGCAUCUCUUUCUGCAAGCAGGAGCUGCCAUGAUGGAGCUUCCCUCAGACUCGAUUUGGUCAGAGUUCCUCAGAAACAUGAGCAUGGUUCUCUACCAGACUAUGUUUUGAUCUUCAAAGACCUCCUCGAGCGUUUAUUGUAUAAAGAAUUCAAACAGGAAAGCAAAUAAGCCGUUUCCCUCGAACACUGAAUCCACCAUCUAUGUUAGGCCUAGUGUUUGCCUUUUUGUUGUAGAUGCACAUAGAAGUUUCUACAACUUGUUUAAUUCUGUUAGAAUAGCUUGAAAAUAUGGACAUUUUAUGGCUCCACACACUGUGACACUUUACCCACAUUUAUAUAUAUUUCUCUUAAAAAUAGGAGUAUUUAUCACCUAAGUAUAUAAAAGACGGACAUUUUCCUAAAGCUGUCCAAUACCAAUAGCCAGCCUUCAUGCCCACUGUCACAGUUUUCCAGAGGUUUUCUUUUCUUUUCUUUCUUUCCCUCUUUUCCUCUUUCCUUUUUCUCAAAGGUUUUUCUACAGUGGCUCUGUUAGAAUCCAACACCCCAUGGCUUUCUCUCUCUCUCUCUCUCUCUCUCUCUCUCGUGUGUGUGUGUGUGUGUGUGUGUGUGUAUUAAGAGAAGUGCACUAGUUCAUCCAUGCCCACAUGGAGGCCAAAGGAAGACUUCAAUAAUUUCUUCUAUUAAGUCCCACAUUGGUUCCCUUUCUUUGCUUUUUUUUUUUUUUUUGACAGGAUCUUUCACUGAAACUGGAGCUUGCUGGUCUAGGCUAAAAUGGUUCUAACUCCUCUGUCUACUCUCCACACCCAAGCAGACACCAAGGUCAAAUGCCAUCACAUGCUGGGCUCCUCUGGACUAGGCCUGUCCACAUCUGCUGCGGUUCCUAUACUCUGAUCAAGACUGGCAUUUACACCAGCGGACUAUGUGCGAAGACUCUUCCCUACUACAAAGUGGAUGGGCUGUGACAAAUGGGGCAAGGUUAACUAGAACAGGCUCGCCUCCAUCAAGCUGGGACAGUAUGGCUGUCCUGCUCUAUAGACCAGGUGGGCCUCAAACUCAGAGACCCACCUGACUCUGCCUCCUGAGUGCUGGGAUUAAAGACGUGCACCGUUACACUCAGCAAGAAAUGAACUGUUGAAGCAUCAUCUACUUAGACUGGCUGUUUAUUCCGAGCUGUAACACCGGGAGAAAGAAGGGCUCCCCGUUUUCCUGAAGAAUUCAUCCCUGGACAGCUGGACUUGACUGCCGGCUGGGCACUUGCCAUAGAACCGGCAGAACUAUUGUGGUCACCACUAAAGCUCACCCGCACCUUGAGCUUCCGCUGUUCACUGGUGUGUUAGAGCCGAUCGCUGCUGCCGCCUUUCACCAAGCUCCGUCCACCGCGGUGCUCAUCUGCGGGAGCAGGUGGCCAAGAUGUUCUCGAAACAGCCAUUCUGUCCGCCUGAACCAACCUAGGCUCCUCAGGCUGCCUCUCUUGGUUUUGGAACCUCGACUUUCCACUGCCAUCUGGGACCAGCAAUCUCAUUAAAAGAGCUAAAUGUAACACUGCAGAAAAACUGUUUUCCGCAUCCCCGGUGAGACUGGGGUCCUGUGGCUCAGACUUCGUUCCUUCACCCAGCUGUUCCUGAGGGAAGCGGAACCUGGGACUCGGAUUCAUCUAUUCCUAUCUAGAGACGCUUGGACCUUCUGUCUGAGGAACGAACACUCCAGUUUGGUGCCUCUUCCCAGAAGGACCCAAAUUAAAGCAUCCCCGGAGCAGAAUCAGCACUGCAGAGAGAUCCCUGCCUGAGGGAUUUUCACUAUGGAGGCAAAACAGCAAAGAAAGGUGCCAGCUAGGCCUGCCAAGGGUCAGGGCUUUGGGACUUCAUGACCACUAUGACAUGUGACAAAGCAGCUCGUGGCCUGACUUUCUGUGUACCUCUGUCCUAAAGGAUUCUUUAUUUAUUCAUUUAUUUAUUUAUUUUAAACAAUUUACUUGUGGUUUUGUUUGUUUUCAAUCUGAGUGCUCUGUCUGCACGUAUACCUGCAGGUCAGAAGAGGGCAUCAGAUCUCUUUAUAGAUGGCCAUGAGCCACCAUGCAGUUGGAAUUGAACUCGGAACCUCUGGAAGAAAAGCCAGUGCUCUUAACUGCUGAGUCAUCUCUCCAGCACCAGGAUUCUGUUCAUCACACAGAUGGUCUCCAUGUCCCUAAAUUUUGUUUGUUUGUUUACUUAUUUAUUUUUUUGUUUUUUUUCAAGACACAUUUUCUCUGCAGCUUUUGAUGUCCUGGAACCGACUCUGUAGACCAGGCCUGCCCCUGCCGUUCAAGUGCUGGGAAUAAAGGUGUGUACCACCACACCCAUUUUUUUAAGAUUUAUUUUUAUUAUUUUGUGUGUCUGCGUUUGUACAUCAUUUGUAUGUUUGAUGUCCAAGGAGGUGGUGAGCCUCCAUGUGGGUGCUGGGAAUUGAACCUGUGUCUUUCACAACUGAGCCAACUCUUCAGGCCUCUGGAUUUUAAAUUUAUCUCCCUUUUUCUUUUAAUUAGGUAGCUAUAAUUGUGCACAUUGAUGGGGUUCUCCUGUUGUGAUGGCUAGGCUUUGUUUGUUUGCUUUUUUAGGAUAGGGUUUCUCUGUGUAGCCCUGGCUGUCCUGGAACUCCCUUUGUAUGGCAAGCUGGUCUCAAGAUCCACCUACCUCUGCCUCCCAAAUGCUGGACUAAGAUAUGUGCCACCACCUCCUGGCUGCUAGUCUGUUUUGUUUUAAAUCAACUGACACAAGCUAGAAGCAGCU
This is a long non-coding RNA of Meriones unguiculatus (Mongolian gerbil), 3768 nucleotides long. RefSeq lists it as uncharacterized. The record is from RefSeq and is a predicted model, not a curated record. The transcript has 4 exons. Lineage: Eukaryota; Metazoa; Chordata; Mammalia; Rodentia; Muridae.